CCUCCUUUGGAGUUUUACAGUGAGCCCAGGACGUGGGCCUACCACCUCUGGCUAGGAAUAGAGGUGGCCAAGUGACAUCUGUGCUAACUGUAGUGGUUUUCACUACAAGGAUUCAGUUGUGCUUGAAGCCAUCGCUCUUUCUGGAUGAUGUAAAGACUCUGCAGGGCAUACUGAGGAGAACAUCAUAAAGAUUUUGGUCUUUGUGGUACUCCUUGUUUCUUCAUGGAAGAAUCCGAACCUCGACCAAAUACCGUGGGUUGUGCUCCACAUCUUGUGAGUCCUCGACUGUGGAUGUUCUCCUAGUACAACAGAGGCCAAUGCAGAACAGGAUGGAGAGCUGUGAGCACAAUACAGUAAGAUGUGUUUGGACUAAUUGUGGAAGAAGUCACUCACAACAAUAAAAAGGAAGGAGUAACUACCACUGUUGCAAGUACAUGUAUUCUGUACUGGGACCUGGAAAUACAAUUGUGAGCCCAUGGGAAACAAGAUCAGACAAGCUUAAAGAUGGGAGCUUUAAAAAAGGAAAGUAACCUUUUUCUAAAGCAGGAAAUAGUAUUGCUGUUGAGAAAUCACACUGGGAUUGGUGAAAUGAAAGGGAAAAGGCUCUAGGCACUGUGGUAAGUUUGUUGACUUUAUAAGCAUAAGCUGUGCUGUGUGCAGUCUAAAGUUUUGAGUUUUUUGAAGCCUCUUCUGUGUGUGCUGAGUUAAUUGUUUAGUUCUUUACUACUGGUCCCUCUUUUAUUUUCUUUCAGACAUUAGAAUUUUUGGGUAUUACAGUAGGCAAUUACAGUCAAUAAGAGAAAAAUAAUAAUUUGGUGUGGGAGGGGGUGACAUGGUGGCUGUGGAGAGCAACAUGGUUUUAUAUCUAUUGCCAUCAGGUGAGCAGCGUAGGAUUGUGUGGACAAGAGGGAAGAAGACCUUUCUCUUCAGAGACAAGGAAGCAACUCAGAGGAGGCAGUGUGACCAGCAGUGAAAUGUCAGAGACUUUUGUGAACAAAGCAGUGACUGACAGUAGGCCUGGCUGAGGAAUCAGUUGGCAUUAUUGGAGGUACUUAAGGGGAAGAUGAGGCUGUUAGCUCAAAGCUUGGAUUUGUUAGACACUUGUCUCCAGGAUUUUGUAAUGUAAUGACCACAUUUUCAAAAAAUGAAACCUUAGUUUAGAUCACAAUUGAAUUGCCAAUGGAAUUGAAUCACUAUUACCUUAUGCAUCCUCUACCUAGUAAUACCCAGUAGCAGGCGUUGUCUUACAUAUAUGCCGAAAAAUAACCUCAGAAAAAAUAGAAUGCAGUAAAAGCUGGUUCAAGAGGGAUGAAUACAUGAUAGUUCUGCAGUUUUGAGUCCUGAAUUUCAUUUGAAUUAUAGGGUUGCCUACACAGUGAGUACUAUUUUUAGCUGAGAAGAUGGGUUUAAUUUACAAUAACAGUUUCAGGUGAGAUUUCUCAGGUGGAUACACUUGCUGAAAUGUUAGAAAUGUUAGUAUAUUUCUAUGUCCUUUGACCAGCCCUGAGAACAUUGUAUUCUGUAAGGAGAGUAAGGACUGUGGGAUUAGGAGGCAGUGCAGAGUGAUCUCACUUGAAAUUAUCUUGCCUUCUUCUUGCAACUAGACAAAUAAUUUGGUGAAAAUAGAGAUCAUUGUUACCCCAAAAAUUGAAGUGUUUUUUUUUCCUUGUUUUACCUUACCAAAUACAAAUACCCUGUUCAGUUUUCUGAAGGUCUAUGGGCAGAUGUAUUCUGUGCUCCAUUUUUAAUCAAGUUUUAGGCUCCAAUUUACUUUCCAACUGACUUGAUGCAGUUGCUGUACUUUUGCCAUGAGCUGCAGCUGAUAAAUUUUGUCAGUGUGAUUUCUUCAAAAGGAAAGACAAAGCUGAAUAUGGAAAUGAUGUACCUCACUAAUGUGGAACCUUCCUGUGCUUCUAGUCACACUGGCUAUAAAUUCUAACAAUUCCAGUUUGAUGAAAGCAGGCAGAGUUACUUUCAUGUCAGGAUGUAGCAAAAAUCAGCUAAGUGUUAGGACAGACAGAUUAGGGGCAAAUAGUUUGGGGAGAAUAUGUGUAGCUUUGUUGUAUUUGUUUUUGCUGUAUUUCUUUGUGACAUCUGUGGCAUGCAUGCACUCCAUAUGAAAAGGACUGGAGCUUUCCAGAAGGGUAAAAUAUGGCAGGAGUUUGCAAAGAGUACAAUGUCAGGAAGAAGCUACUGUUUUCACAUUUAUACCUUCUGUAACAAUCUAUGUAGAUUUUGGGUGAGAAGUGUUUCUUUAAGUAGUCAUAUUUUGGUGAUAAAGGAGUUAAGUUGUUAGCUAAAUGUACCAGCAGUGUGGCAUUGCUUCUGCAAGGCACGUACCUACAAUCUGAGCACCAGAUCCACUGAAAAGAUCAUUUAAGCAUGUUCUUAGCUAUACUAGUUGCCCAUGAAAAUUCUUUAUAGUGUAAGUCACUGCUUACACCCACCAUGAUGAAAUGUGACGAGGUUGUUCUAGCAGUAUGGGUCAGAAGGUAAAGCAUUACUCUAGUCCGACCAAAUAACAGUCGGUGUUAAUUCAGUGGCUGUACCAAAGGCUGCAUUACUGUGUUUAAACCAAAAGUAUUUCAGCCAAUGUUUCCCCCUACACAGACUCAGUAUUUUGUCCACAUUUGCAUAUUAUAGGAUAUACAGCAUCUGAAGUGAGUAAUUCUAUUUUUCAUUACUAUAUGAACUAAGUACAUAAAUCUGUCAAAAAUAACAAACCAGCAAACAAGUGAGAAGUCUACCAUAUGUUAUCAAAUGAGCUGGCAUAAUGCCUGGUUCAAGGAAGUCUGUGCCCAUUGUCUAGGUAGCAUAUUGUAUGUUGAAGUUUUGGUUAAGUCUGAUACACACUGUAACAAGAUUCAAGUACUUAGCUGCCAGUUUUGUGCUAGAGUGUGACUCUGAGUUGAUACCUCGGUUAAGGAAAAGGAGAUUGCAGUAGUAAUGCACAGAGUUUCUGGAAAAGGAAGUAAGAUUUGUCCAGAAAAAGGGCUUGUUUAAAAAACAAGACAAAACAAAUAAAUCAUUUCUUCAUCCGAGAUGAGGCUGAACAUGCUUCUGUGAAGAAAUAAGGAUAGUUUUCUAUCUGAAAAGUAGGACAAACAAAAUUAUUUCCCUGAAGUCUCUUCCUAGACUGACACCUAUUUCUUAAUGCAUAAGUUACUGGUGAGUGAGGCAUUCCAUCCAAUGGCUACCUUGAGUAAAAAUAGAGGAAGAGUGGCUCUCCUUCUCUCCUUUCAUACCUUGAAAAAUCAAAAUGUGAUCUUAGCACACUUGAGACAUCAAAAUUCACUUUGAGAAAAGAUAAAUGUGGGGCUGCUUGGGAGCCGAAUGUGUUUCUGAAAACCAGUACUGUAAGGGCUCUCUUACUUGGGAACAGUUUUCUUUGUAUUCUUUCUUUUACCACGUGUUUUCUGACCUGUUUGUUCUAUUCUGCUUUUAUAUUUUAAGUGUUGAGAAGGUUUAUUUGUACAUGUAUUUUUCUUACACUGGGCUCAUGUGUUAUUGGCUGUCAGCUUUGGUCCUCAGCUUUUGAUGAUGCAGAAAAUUAAUGGAGUCUUCAGCUCAGGCAUUAUGAUAAUAGAGUGUUCAAGGAUGUGCCAUCACCACCCACAAGACUCAAUAGCUCAUACUACCAAUAAGCUCUUCGUCCUUUGGAUUGCUGUUUUAAUAACCUUAAUAUUUUGUAUUGUGGUAUUUUACUGUUGGCUUCAACACACCUAAAUAAAGACAAGUUGUUUGAAAUGCAUCAGGAGGAAAGAAGAUGUAUUCUCUUUUGGGAAGCAUAUCUCUUUACUGGUGGCAUGCUUUCUACCUACUCAAAAGCAAACUUCAAGGUGACUUAUCAGUCUUAGCCAGCUGUGGUGAGGGAUAACAUUUUUAGAGAACUGCUAUAGAGGAAGGAUGGCAGUAACUACUGUCAAGAGGAUAUUUUACCACUGGACUCAGAAUAGCUGUGCUGAUCUAGAUGGCUGCUGAGCUCUCUGCAUACCCAAGUUAAUUUGUACUUUUUGUUGUACUUGUUGUGGUAAUGUUUUGAAAACAAGAUAAGGUGAAACAAGACCUUGGGAAGUGGGGGAGGGCAUUGAAAACUUUCAUACUGUGUUUUUUACUUGAAGGUAGAGUGCAGGACAUAAGACAGGAAGCUAAUGCUGAAGGGAGAGCACUAAUAUAAAGAUGAUAGGAAAAUACAAUGUAUGGAAAUCCAAAAGUGAAUCAGAAAAGAGUAUGGCAGGUGCAUUGUUUAGUUGCUGCCUGCAAAUAAUGCUAGGAAGCUGUGGAAGUGGAUUCAGUGAUUCCUUUCCUCGCUCUGACCAACCUUACAGAUAAACAUGCUAAGUCUCCCUGGGGAGCCAUAGAGGACCCAAUCCUAAUAAAAUUCUUGAACUUCAGAUGAAUUGUGGAUCCUCUGGAGCAGACAGAGGCUGCUGGUUGUGAUGAUAAUGUGUUAGAUGGUAGAGAAUACUACAGGGUGGUAGUCCAAGCAAGUCCGUUCCUGCAAAGGACAAAACACAGUAAGCUGUGGCAGGUAUCUCCUUGCCCUUGUUUUAUGAGGAUGUAGUUACAGCUAUGUAGUUUUUUGCUAUUAUCUCCUUGAUCCUUAUAAGGCCUUAACUGCAGGAAUAUUCUGCUUUCUUGGAGAAAUCCUUCCUUUGAAAAAUGGUUUUCUUGACCAAAGAAGCUUUAAAAAUAGAAUUUAGUUUUCUUGCUGCCUCCUUUAACAUCAGCCAUGAUGAAUAGUUGAGCAAAUAGGGCAUGGUGCUCUGUUCCAUGUUUUCAGAUCGCGGGAGCAAUUAUUUGACAUGUUUCUAUCUAGUAUGGAGCUCUAUAACUAAGCAGACAAAAUGCCAACCAGCAGGCUGGCUGGAGCAGUUUGCACCAUCUCCCUUAAUGCCCUGUCCCCCUGCCUCUGUGGAAGUGAAGUGCCAGAAGGCACAAUCUGCCCCACAGCAUAUGAGCCGCAUGACUAUUUUCAGCUGCUUUUAAAUCAUCUGCUGUCUUGUAUAAAAAUAAUUGAGAACUACAGUACAAAGCCAAUAGCUCCAAAAUAGCCCGACUCAUAGAAGAUGGAUAGUCCAGAGGAAACAUGAUCCUGCAUGACCAAGCAUCUCUAGUCUCCAUCCUGCUUAAAUGCAGCUGUUUUAAGCAUCGGGAAGUAGAAAAUAUGCUGCCUAUCUAUAAAAAGCUACUUAAAAAUAAAAUUGCUAGAUCCAUAUCUUGCAGUGCAGACUUGUAUCUUUAACAUGUCUUGUACACUGGAGUCAAAAAUAAGCCCUUCAGCUUUUUAAAUUUUUUUUAUUUUAUUUUUUUUUUACUUUUGCUGAUGGUAGGUGGGUUUUGAAGCAUUUUUCUGGUUUGUUUUCCAUAACUGUUAAGCCAUUUCUGCUUUGGAUACAUUUUGUUUUGUUUUUUAUUUUAGGAAGUUUUCCUAUGAGCUAAGGUUUAUUAACUGAAAGGUGGUUAUUUGUCAUUUCAGCAGCAGCACUUUCAGGGUACAGCAAACAAUCUGUAUGCAGCUAAUGUAUUCUAACCAAAGGGAAUGGGCUUUUGUUUAUGCAAUUAUUUAGUGAGACAAAUAUAUGGGCAAAACUUCCCCAAUUUUAACCAGGAAUGGUACGUAAAGGACAAGUAUUAGCUGGAAGCACAAAUAACAGGAAUGACCACAUAGAGUUCUACUAUCUAUUAGUGGUGAAAACUUGCAAAUCAUUUCUUCAAAAAUGAAGCUUCUAAGAGUUCGUUUAAACCUUCUGUACAAGGCCAUUUUUCAUAAAUGCUUUGAUAGCAGAUUCACAGAAAGUAAAUCAAGAUGCCUUCAAAAGAUCCAAAACCUUUUGAAACCAUCUGGAGCACUUGACUUGUGUGAUGUCACCAUGCUUUGUCAUCUUUGCUGAAGUUGCAGCUACAGAGCUUCCCUGGUGAUUCCACGUUAAUGGCCUAAGUGCAGCAAACCCUGGAAGUGGGUAAUCAUGCCUCCCACUUUCCCCCCUGCCCCCCUUUCCCUUCCAAAACCAAAGUCAAUUAGUAGUUUCAGAACAGUGUUUUUCUACAGAAGAGCAAGGCUCUAGGGAUGGACAGAGGUGCAGGGAGGUGGUUUUUCCAUUUUUUUGAGGAGCUGAGUUACUAGCAGACUUGUGUUAACUUAGCAGGAAUGGCUCACUAACUCCAGGUGAUAACAGAGUAAUUGGGACAAACUGAGUAAAACGUAUUGAGCAGCUCAUCGCCCUUCAACAUUAUUAACAGUGGCAGAGAAGUGGUGCUUUGCAGGUUUGCUGGGGGAGGUAGUGAGCUAAUACAAUGAACAUUUUACAACUUCAGGACUUGUUUCUUCUCCUUCUACCACCUUAGCUAAGAAUAAACUUUACCUUGUUAUGUUUUCAUUUGAACUUCAGCCAAGAAGUUCAAGUCCAGAUACAACUAACCCAUCAUUCUUAUGGCUCUUCUUGGAAGGCAGCUGUGGCUUUUGAUUUCUUUGUUCUUUCUGAGAGGUGGGUUGUUUUUUGUUUUAUUUUCUUUUUUUCUCCCGUAAUGAAGUAAUGAAGUUCCAUGUAAUAGGAAUGGUCUCAAAAGCUGAGAUUAAAUUGGUUAUUGAGAAUGGCCAGGCUACAAGAAAAGUGACCGGUAUUGCAGUAAAGUACACUGCAUUAAGCAAUAAACUGUGCUUUAGUGAUAAGAAUGCUAGCAAAAGCUCUAAUGUAAAGCAGGCUAGUAAAAGCACACACAGUGUGCUGGACAAGCAGGUACUCCCUGCUUAU
Lagopus muta (rock ptarmigan) is the source of this 6755-nucleotide long non-coding RNA. RefSeq lists it as uncharacterized. Lineage: Eukaryota; Metazoa; Chordata; Aves; Galliformes; Phasianidae. The transcript has 4 exons. The record is from RefSeq and is a predicted model, not a curated record.